Molecule: long non-coding RNA, 1446 nt
Organism: Brassica rapa (field mustard)
Lineage: Eukaryota; Viridiplantae; Streptophyta; Magnoliopsida; Brassicales; Brassicaceae
Source: RefSeq, a predicted model, not a curated record
GUUGAUAUCAUAUUUAUUACAUUGCUUACAAAAUGUUUUAAUGUUUCUAAUUAGGUUGUUUGUUUUUAAUAACUUACCUAUCUAAUAUGGAUUACUUGUGCAAGUUAAAAUCAUAUCAUAUGCAAAUCAUUUUUUGACAAUACGCAUUUAAUAUCUUUCUUUAAACGAUUUCAUUAUUUAUUAUGCAAAAUAUUGUACAUCAUUAAUAUGAUAAAUAAAUCGACUGUAUAUAUAUAUGAGACACCCAACGUCUUAAAAUACAAACAUUCUCUUUUCAUUCUUUAAAGUAUUAUUCACAAAUCUUUCCUCUCAUACUAUUAAGGUACUACGACGAUGCUGCUUGUGUGCUAAGAAAAAUGUGUUUAUACGCAAAGGCUCCUCAUUUUUCAUCGACUCUGCUACCCACUUUGCCUUGGAAGUUCAAUAAACCUGUACAGCCUAAUAAAGGACUAACCCGCCAAGGCAAUGGGCACUCAGAAGAGCUACGUUGUGUCAUUGCUGUUAUUCGACAUGGCGAUCGAACUCCAAAACAGAAGAUGAAACUAAAUAUUACAGAAGAGAAACUGUUAAACCUGAUGCUGAAGUACAAUGGUGGAAAGUCAAGAGCUGAGAUGCGAGAGGCUCCAGCUUUUUUGUCAUCCAUCUUUUAUCAGAGCCUUGAUUCAUUUUAUAUAUAUAUAUAUUUUUUUUGCAGACAAAACUAAAAUGUGCAGUCCAGUUGCAAGACCUAUUAGAUGCAACAAGAAUGUUAGUUCCCCGUACAAGGUAGAACCCUGAACUCAACUCUUUGUGCAUUGUCUCCAAAAAGCAUGUCUGGUCUAUCUUUUCCAUGUGUUGAAUAUUGGUAACGGCAAUAUGGUCUUCCUUUUUUAUAUGUAGACCAGGUCGUGAUAGUGAUAGUGAUCCAGAAGACCUUGAACAUGCUGAGAAGUUUCGCCAAGUUAAAGCAGUUCUUGAAAAGGUUCUUUAGUACUUUCUCUUUUUUUGUUGAAUAUAGUCCGGAGAAAGUAUUACAUAGUAUCAUUUAGUAAUACUAUCUUAUAUCAUUUUUUUUACUGGUGCUUAAUUUGCAAUGUCAUCAUGUGUUUACUAAUAAUAUCUUUUUAUCUUUCUUGCUUCUCAAGGUUUCUUUGGUUAACAAGGACUCUUCCAUGUUGGAUGGUCUUGAUACUGCCAGCAUUGAAAUGGAAGCUGCCAAGGUUUGUCCCAUGACUUGAGUCAUUUUUUGAAGUGUGUGUAUCAGUCAAUCAACAAGAUUGAUUUCAUUAUAAUUGGACUAUAUAUGCAGGCUAGAUUGAAUGAGAUUAUAACGUCUGGCAAAAAAAUGAUUAAUGAAUUACUACUAUUUAUUAUUAUCAAAUCAUAGUAGUAAUUAUCAAAUUAAAUACGCAAAAGACAAAACAAAAAGAGAGAGGCAUAACAUAAAAUAAGUUAGUAUAUUAAAUU